AUGGGGCUUUUUUUGUUAGAUAUGGCUUUUAUGCCAAAUCUCUUUUUCUCUGUUAUACUGGAUUAUAUAAAAAAUUCACUUGCCUAUGACUUUCUAAUGCCAUCAUUCUCAUUGACACUCCUGGAACUAAUCUCUUAUGUCCUUGUGCUAGUAUUGGUGUUCUUGUGCUUUUACAUGAUAAUUGAAUCUUUGGCAGUCUUUUUUAAACAUUUAAAGGCAAACAUCAGGCAAGCUACUACAAAAAAUGAUCUAACAUUAAAAAUGAAUUAUCUAGAGACUAAACUAGAUAGAAUGGAAAGUCAAUAUGAGGAAUUACUCAAGGCUAAAGGAACAAUGACAGAAAAUAAAGAACAUGAAGCAACUAAAUUAGAGGGUGCAACUAAAUCAGAUAAACCAACUAAAUUAGAAAUGGAAACUGAAGCAUUAGAAAGCACACCAGCUCAUAUAUUUCCUUUAAGGGAGGUACCUACAGUGUCCCCAGAGCAUGGUGUACUGAAUCUCACAUGCCACAAAAGGUUUAUGCAAGCUGAUAGAGAUAGUUUUAAGAAAAAUUAUCCAAAGUAUGAAGAAGAACCAAUGGGAGUUGUAAAGCAGUUCAAGCACUUAAGUAAGCUUUACAAUCCUUCUUAUUUGGACUUUGACAUCCUUAUGGAUGAAUUAUUGACAAAGAAGGAGAAACAGCAGAUCAUAGAGGACACUAAUAGGAACCCUCAAAUUACCAAUUGGCCAACCAAGGAUCCUGGGUGGGAAACUAACUCAUUUGUGGGGUACAGAGUCUUAAUUAUAGCCAGGGAGGCAAUAGUUGAAACUAUGAAGCAAAAUUCCAGAUGCCCAGGAACGUGGUCUAAAUUUGAACACCUAAAGCAAGAAGUGGGAGAGACUCCCUCCACUUUCCUUGAUAGAAUUAUUGAGUGUGCUGAAAAAUGGAUUGGGUUGGAUAUUUUAACAGAGGAAAACGUAAAUGACAUUCCCAGACAGUUUGUGAAAAAUGCAUGGCCUGUGAUCCAAAAUUAUUUUCAAAGUAACUGUCCAAAUUGGUUUGAUAUGGGUCUUGACAAAAUUUGGAGAAUUGCUAAUUAUGCUAAUUAUGUUUUCCAAGAUGAGAAAGAUAGGUAA
This 1116-nucleotide long non-coding RNA is filed under the name Monodelphis domestica (gray short-tailed opossum). RNAcentral describes it as "lncRNA (ENSMODG00000029645.2)". The record is from RNAcentral. Lineage: Eukaryota; Metazoa; Chordata; Mammalia; Didelphimorphia; Didelphidae.